RNAcentral lists this ribosomal RNA (466 nucleotides) under uncultured bacterium. RNAcentral describes it as "partial 16S ribosomal RNA". It matches the Rfam family "Bacterial small subunit ribosomal RNA", at positions 28 to 507 of the family's 1533-position model. The record is from RNAcentral.
GACGAACGCUGGCGGCGCGCCUAACACAUGCAAGUCGAACGAGCGAGAGAGAGCUUGCUUUCUCGAGCGAGUGGCGAACGGGUGAGUAACGCGUGAGGAACCUGCCUCAAAGAGGGGGACAACAGUUGGAAACGACUGCUAAUACCGCAUAAGCCCACGGCUCGGCAUCGAGCAGGGGGAAAAGGAGCAAUCCGCUUUGAGAUGGCCUCGCGUCCGAUUAGCUAGUUGGUGAGGUAACGGCCCACCAAGGCGACGAUCGGUAGCCGGACUGAGAGGUUGAACGGCCACAUUGGGACUGAGACACGGCCCAGACUCCUACGGGAGGCAGCAGUGGGGAAUAUUGCACAAGGGGGGAAACCCUGAUGCAGCGGCGCCGCGUGGAGGAAGAAGGUCUUCGGAUUGUAAACUCCUGUUGUUGGGGAAGAUAAUGACGGUACCCAACAAGGAAGUGACGGCUAACUACGUG